This 261-nucleotide unclassified non-coding RNA is filed under the name plant metagenome. RNAcentral's name for it is "partial contains small subunit ribosomal RNA, internal transcribed spacer 1, and 5.8S ribosomal RNA". The record is from RNAcentral.
UUUCCGUAGGUGAACCUGCGGAAGGAUCAUUAUUGUAUAACCGAGGUGCGAGGGCUGUCGCUGACCCGAAAGGUCGUGCACGCCCGAGUGCCCUCACACACAUCCAUCUCACCCCUAUGUGCACCACCGCAGGUCCCCCUUUGGCUUGUUCGGAGGGGGGCUUACGUUUUCACACAAACUUUGUAUGCAGUGUAGAAUGUAUUUUUUGUUUUUGCGAUCACGCAAUCAAUACAACUUUCAACAACGGAUCUCUUGGCUCUC